RNAcentral lists this transfer RNA (68 nucleotides) under Alvinocaris kexueae. RNAcentral's name for it is "tRNA-Leu". Lineage: Eukaryota; Metazoa; Arthropoda; Malacostraca; Decapoda; Alvinocarididae. The record is from RNAcentral.
UAUUAUCUUGGCAGAAGAAUGCACUAGAUUUAGGAUCUAAUCAUAUAGUUUAUUACUAUAGAUAAUAG